UGAGAGAGAGAGAGAGAGACAGAGAGGAGAUGGGUUUUGCUUCCUAUCGCCCAUCUAACUCCAACAUGGAACAACUUGGUUGCUUGUGAAGGGGAGGAGAAGAGAUUAAGGGGGUCCUCUGCAAAACCACCGACAGGGUCAUGUUCAUCCUUUCCCACGCUCUGCAAACUGGUCCCAUGCCUAAUUAUUGCUCUGUGUAUUUGUUAUCUAGUGCUGUGUAUUGCACAACCAAAGAGAAAGAGAGAAUGUUGACGCGACGUU
Long non-coding RNA from Telopea speciosissima, 261 nucleotides. RefSeq lists it as uncharacterized. The record is from RefSeq and is a predicted model, not a curated record. NCBI's taxonomy places the organism in Eukaryota, Viridiplantae, Streptophyta, Magnoliopsida, Proteales, Proteaceae. The transcript has 3 exons.